Molecule: long non-coding RNA, 1481 nt
Filed under: Piliocolobus tephrosceles (Ugandan red Colobus)
Lineage: Eukaryota; Metazoa; Chordata; Mammalia; Primates; Cercopithecidae
Description: lncRNA (ENSPTEG00000024130.1)
Source: RNAcentral
CAGGGAUGACAGGCAUGCACCACCACGCCCAGUUUUAUAAAAAAUUUUUUGUAGAGAUUGGGUUUUGCCAUGUGGCUUAGACUGGUCUGAAACUCCUGAACUCAAGUGACCUGCCCACCCCAGCCUCCCAAAAUGUUGGGAUUACAGGCGUGAGCCACCACACCCGGCCUCCCCUACACCUAUCAUAACAAACCCUUUGUCUUCUUCAUAGUACUGAAUGCAGCCUGCACUUACUUGUGUCAUUUGCUUACUGUGUAUCUAUCUCCUCUGUACAGCAUAAGCCCCAGGGGCCAGGGUCUUUUUAAGUCUUGGCCUCCAUUGUAUCCCCAGCACUUGCCAUAGUGCUUGGUUAAUAACGGGUACAGAAGAAAUUUUUUUUUUUUAAUAAAUAAAUAAAUGAAUGAAAGGCAAUACUGAAAGGUGAGGAAGGGUUUGGUUCUAAAAUCAGACAAACCAGAGUUUGACUCAAUCCUCUGAGCUUGGCAGAUUUGUGAAACCUCUUGAAACAUAUAUUGUCAUCUGUGAAAGUGAGAUAAUAACAGUAUCUACCUCAAAGAGUUGUUGUGAGGAUUAAGUGAGAUAAAUUAUCUACCAUGCACAUAGUAACCCCUAAUGCAUCAUAGCUGCUAUUAUUACAGCCAUCAGUAUCAUCAUUCUCAGGCUGCUUCACAGGCCAUUGUCUAGCCUGUUGGGUGACAGACCUUGGAUCAGAUCCUACCACUUUUCCAAUCAGCUCAGGCUUGGCAGAUACAUGUAGCAAAAAGCUUGGCCGAAGAACUGAAUUUGACACUAGGGUUAAGGCAGGUACUGAGGGAUGGGAGACCCCUGGAAUCAUCAAGCUCUGGCCGUGGAAUCAGGACGAAGUGCUGCACGGAGGGGCCUUGCCCAAGGCUACGCAGCUGGUGGAUGGGGAAAUCAGGCGCUUGCCCACCGCCUCGCAGGCAGCUUUCCCUCUGAGGGAAGGUGGUGCCUCCGUCCUCUGAGGAGGUAGCUGGGAUAGCCUGAAAUGAGCUGCUGAAAGCCUGAAGCUCCAGAAAGACAAAAAACAAGCAAUACACAGUGAUGUGGGUGUCACUCGCUGAGGAUGUGCGAUAACACACACACUGCCCGGGUUGAAGUGAAAUGAAUAAUGCCAAUAACAUUGUGAGGGAAUGCUUCAGUGCCUGAAAUGUACAGUGCACGAAUGGUUCCCAAGAUUUGUCAUAUUUUAAUGCUAUUGCCUUAUGUUUGUUCGGUGCUUUCCAGUUUUGAAAGUGCUUUCACAUGUUUAAUCAUUUGCUCACAAUAAUUCUUCAAAGCAAAUAGGUAGAUAUGGGCGGAAUGACAUCUCCCCCUUCCCAAAUUCAUGUGUUGAAACUCUAAGCCCCAGUACUUCAGAAUGUGAUUGUAUUGGUGUGUCGGGAAUUGGUUGGUUCCUUUCAGUGGGUUCUUGGUCUCACUGACUUCAAGAAUUAAGCUGCGAAUGCCCACGGUAUUAAAGU